UGGCCUUGACAUGUCUGGAAUCCUGUAGAGAUACGGGAGUGCCUUCGGGAAUCAGAACAC
This 60-nucleotide ribosomal RNA is filed under the name uncultured organism. Its description in RNAcentral is "partial 16S ribosomal RNA". The record is from RNAcentral.